Molecule: long non-coding RNA, 672 nt
Organism: Micropterus dolomieu (smallmouth bass)
Lineage: Eukaryota; Metazoa; Chordata; Actinopteri; Centrarchiformes; Centrarchidae
Exons: 2
Source: RefSeq, a predicted model, not a curated record
GUCCUGCCUGCAGCUAAAGUAGUUUUAUCUAGCACUUAAAGGGGCAAUAUGUAGUUUUCAGUGGCAUUUUAAUAAUUAAUGUUAAAUGAGUGCUCAAAUGUUCACUGACAGACCUAGUAUUACCUUGUGCAAUACAAUAACUUUUAACUGCACUUUCCCAUUAGUUCAUUAGCACUAGUUAAUUUAGCUUGAUUUGUUGCAGACAAAACAUUUCAGGAAAAAGCACUGGUUUACUAGCGGUACUAGCAGUACGCAUUAAGUAUGCAUGCUUGAACUCCAGAAAGUGCUAAAUCCCACUCACCGGGAGACAGCUCCACAUAACAUGCUGGAAACUCAGGAAGAGGGGGUACAAGGUUACGAGAGAGGCGAAGGGUGUUACCUCAGCGUCGGGUGCCUCGUCCUCCCCGUCUCCCACCACUGCGUCCUGUCACCAACCUGAGCUUCUCUCGGAGCUUCACCUUCUCUUUCUUUGAGCUGCCGCUACACCAGUCGCCUUGCUGCCGUGUCGAACGCAUCAGAAACCUCAUGCUGCUUCUGAGACAGAUACACUACUGAAGAGUCAGUGCUGCGUGGACAGUUAAUUCUUGUAUUUUCCUAUUCCAUAGAAUCUGUUUUGUUGAAUCUUUUGUUUCUAUAUUUAUUGUAAACAAAUUAAACUACUUGGGGAUCUCA